Molecule: ribosomal RNA, 240 nt
Filed under: Francisella tularensis
Lineage: Bacteria; Pseudomonadati; Pseudomonadota; Gammaproteobacteria; Thiotrichales; Francisellaceae
Description: partial 16S ribosomal RNA
Rfam family: Bacterial small subunit ribosomal RNA
Source: RNAcentral
AUUAAACUGAAGAGUUUGAUCCUGGCUCAGAUUGAACGCUGGUGGCAUGCUUAACACAUGCAAGUCGAACGGUAACAGGUCUUAGGAUGCUGACGAGUGGCGGACGGGUGAGUAACGCGUAGGAAUCUGCCCAUUUGAGGGGGAUACCAGUUGGAAACGACUGUUAAUACCGCAUAAUAUCUGUGGAUUAAAGGUGGCUUUCGGGCUGUCGCAGAUGGAUGAGCCUGCGUUGGAUUAGCU